RNAcentral lists this ribozyme (116 nucleotides) under Aedes aegypti (yellow fever mosquito). RNAcentral describes it as "drz-agam-1 ribozyme". It matches the Rfam family "drz-agam-1 ribozyme". Lineage: Eukaryota; Metazoa; Arthropoda; Insecta; Diptera; Culicidae. The record is from Rfam by way of RNAcentral.
UGCCCAGCAACUCCUACCCCUACCUCUUCGCGAUACUGGCCGGGGUACGAGUAACCUUAGGGAAGAUAGGGUAACUAACCCCGGUGGGAGCUCUGGUCGUUUGGUGAUAGGGAAGG